RNAcentral lists this ribosomal RNA (253 nucleotides) under uncultured bacterium. RNAcentral describes it as "partial 16S ribosomal RNA". It matches the Rfam family "Bacterial small subunit ribosomal RNA", at positions 524 to 776 of the family's 1533-position model. The record is from RNAcentral.
UACGGGGGGGGCAAGCGUUGUUCGGAAUUACUGGGCGUAAAGGGCUCGUAGGCGGCCAACUAAGUCGGAUGUGAAAUCCCCAGGCUUAACCUGGGAACUGCAUCCGAUACUGGAUGGCUUGAAUCCGGGAGAGGGAUGCGGAAUUCCAGGUGUAGCGGUGAAAUGCGUAGAUAUCUGGAGGAAUACCGGUGGCGAAGGCGGCAUCCUGGACCGGCAUUGACGCUGAGGAGCGAAAGCUAGGGGAGCAAACGGG